GCAAACUUGGUCAUUUAGAGGAAGUAAAAGUCGUAACAAGGUCUCCGUUGGUGAACCAGCGGAGGGAUCAUUACCGAGUUGCAAAACUCCCACCAUUGUGAACUUACCUAGACUGUUGCUUCGGCGGGGGGCACUGCCCGGCUUUUUAUAAAGCACCCGCCGGAGGCAUUCAAACUCUUGUUUUUCUGGCCUCUCUGAGUAGCUUAUUUAAUAAGUCACAACUUUCAACAACGGAUCUCUUGGCUCUGGCAUCGAUGAAGAACGCAGC
RNAcentral lists this unclassified non-coding RNA (268 nucleotides) under uncultured fungus. RNAcentral's name for it is "partial contains small subunit ribosomal RNA, internal transcribed spacer 1, and 5.8S ribosomal RNA". The stretch from base 1 to 73 matches the Rfam family "Eukaryotic small subunit ribosomal RNA", at positions 1759 to 1831 of the family's 1831-position model. The record is from RNAcentral. Lineage: Eukaryota; Fungi.